AUCCUAAGAUAAAUGAUAGAACAAAGUGUCUUACAUUGACUAAUUAAUACAGAAUGACUGUGAAACUUUUUCAUCUAAAUUCUUCUUAAGUCUGACUCCCUGCUAGUAGAACUAUCAGCUUCUAAACAAAGGAAGGCAAGUAUUUUUAUCUAUGUUUCAUGUGAUUUUGCUCAAAUUAUAAAGAAUCAAUCCACCUUAACAUGUCAAAAAAUCUUUUUUUUUUUUUUUUUUUUUUUAUUUUAUGUAUACAAAAUAAACACAUGGAUGUUUUUAAUUAUAUUUAUACAGACACCAUGAAGUCCAUUAUAUUGACUACAAGUAUGCCAAAAUAUGCGGUGCCACUGUUUUCAGGGAUACUUAUAAAGAAUGAUUGGAAAAAAAAAAAAAAGUUAUUUCUGAAAAAGAGCAUACAAAUAAAUAGACCAGAAAAUCUUUAAAGUCCUUCUUUAGUAGCUAGGGAUUUUUAAAAAGUCCUUAAAGAAAAUAUGAACAUAUUUUGAAUGCCUUCAAAUAUUUUUGAGAAUGAUGCCCAGAAAGAGUGCAGCAUUUGCCAAAGAAAACAUGCCACCAAUAUCAGGACAGAAGGAUAGAAGGUAGAACAAUAUCAAGCAAUAAUUUCUACAUCUGUUAAUGUAAUUCUGAAGUAUUAUUAAGAUUUUACGUGACUAAAUAUUAACAGUUGCUAGGAAAAGGGGAAAUCUGAAGAAAAGCUGUGCAACAUUGUACAAUAUUUUCUCCAGACUUCUAAGUAUAGUUUCCUUCUGUUGCUAAAAUGUAUUUUCGCUUGGUUUUACUAGAAUAAAUGGGAAUUUUUCUACUUUUUCUGUAUCGGAGUUGUAGACAGGAGUAGCUGUAGAGAGCUUCACAAAACAUGAGAAUGCAGGGCAUUUUACCAUUAAGGAAAACAAAACAAAAGAAAACAAAACAAAACAAAUAAAAAUGUAUCAAAAGAAGUAUCCAUUCCAAUUGGGAUACAUCUAUAAUUUUCACAAGACAUUAAUAUUGGUUUUACAUUUUUCCUCCAUGAAAGCCUUCUGGCAGCAUCUCAAAAUCAAAUCAUAGGAUAAUGAUUCAGAACUCCUUU
Long non-coding RNA from Cygnus olor (mute swan), 1084 nucleotides. RefSeq lists it as uncharacterized. The record is from RefSeq and is a predicted model, not a curated record. Lineage: Eukaryota; Metazoa; Chordata; Aves; Anseriformes; Anatidae. The transcript has 2 exons.